This is a long non-coding RNA of Salvelinus fontinalis (brook trout), 4725 nucleotides long. RefSeq lists it as uncharacterized. The record is from RefSeq and is a predicted model, not a curated record. NCBI's taxonomy places the organism in Eukaryota, Metazoa, Chordata, Actinopteri, Salmoniformes, Salmonidae. The transcript has 4 exons.
AAACUUCUGUUUCAGCGAUGAUCUGUGACGUGAAUUUGUGGUGCUCAAGGAAUACAAAGGAAAUGUGUGUAAAUAACCGAUUAAAGUGAACUGAACUUAUAUAGUAUGGUAAUGAAUGCCAUAGCCAUUGCUUACCCAUUCACUGCGAGAAGACGUAAAAUAACGAGAGUGAAAGAGAGAAGAGAGAACGUCUGAAUGUGGUGCUAAAUAACAUCACAGAGAAUAAACAGCUAAAAGAAUGAAGAUGGACCAGUUUCCAGAGGAAUCCUAGCUAUGCAGCGCUGGGAAGAUAUUGAAAGACACAUGAUAGAACAUUAGUGAGAGUGGAGACGUUUCUGGUGGCAAACGUCUGAUGACAAUGAUUUAAGAAGGGACAGAUAUGCCGACACGAAUCAAGUGACUGACAGAACAUUCACGAAAAAGGAGAAGAGGAGAGGAGAGAGGCGGACAUCCAAACUUAAAGCCUGGCAAUUCAGCGAUGGAAGAGGCCAAAGUAAGCUCUGUGGCGAUCGGGGUGGCUGUGGGAUGCACCUUCCUCGCUCUCCUCAUCAUGAUCGGCAUUGUGCAGUUCUGCUGCAGUCAAUCCUUCAAGAAAUGCAGGAAACACUGCAAGAAAAAGGAGGCAUCACUGAAAGACAAAGUACUUAAGAAGUUUGGCCAAAAGAAGUCUCCCCCUCCCUUCUCCAUCAGUGGCUUUAUGAAGUAGAGGACCUGCAUCACACAGGAGAACAUCUCUGUUGAUUAGAGUCGCUCUUUCUUUCUCCCUCUCUCUGAUAUUGAUCUAACAGUCAUGUAUUUGAACGUAAUACUCUGUCUCCUGUGAAUAUAGUGCAGUAUGUCUCUGUAGAGGGGGCAGCAGUAGCCUCGAGGUUAGAGAAGCGGGCCAGCAACCGGAGGGGUGCCACGUACUGCUAAUGUUCCUUUGGAACUUAACCCCCUAAACGGUUAUUUUGGGCUAUGCACUGCCGGUGCCCUCUGCUCCAGCCUCUCCAACCGUGUGUAUAUACAAUGACUUGGGAAAGUAUUCAGACCACUUGACUCUCCACAUUUUGUUACUUUACAGCCUUAUUCAAAAAUGUUUUAAUUCUGUUUUUUUUACUCAUCAAUCUACACACAACACCCCAUAAUGACAAAGCAAAAACAGGUUUUUAUGGAGAGAAAAAUAAUAUUUAAUUACAAAUGAAAAACGGAAAUGUCCCAUUUACAUAAGUAUUCAGACCCUUUACACAGUACUUUGUUGAAGCACCUUUGGCAGCAAUUACAGCAUUGAGUCUUUGAUAUGAUGCUACAAGCUUGGCACACCUGUAUUUGGGGAGUUUCUCCCAUUCCUCUCUGCAGAUCCUCUCAAGCUCAGUCAGGUUGGAUGGGGAGCGUUGAUGCAUUUUGUCAGGUCUCUCCACAGAUGUUUUGAUCGAGUUCAAGUCCGGGCUCUGGCAGGGCCACUCAAGGACAUUCCGAGACUUGUACCGAAGCCACUCCUAUUGGCUUGGCUGUGUGCUUAGAGUCAUUGUCCUAUUGGAAGGUGAACCUUUGCCCCAGUCUGAGAUCCUGAGCGCUCUGGAGCAGGUUUUCAUCAAGGAUCUCUCUGUACUUUGCUCCGUUAAUCUUUGCCUCGAUCCUGACUAGUCUUCCAGUCCCUGCUUCUGAAAAACAUCCCCACAGCAUGAUGCUGUCACCACCAUGCUUCACCGUAGGGAUGGUGCCAGGUUUCCUUCAAACGUGAUGCUUGGCAUUCAGGCCAAAGAACUCAAUCUUGGUUUCAUCAGACCAGAUAAUCUUGUUUCUCAUGAUCUGAGAGUCUUAAGCAGGCUGUCAUGUGGCUUUUGUCUGGCCACUCUACCAUAAAGGCCUGAUUGGUGGAGUGCUGCAGAGACGGGAGGUCCAUCUGGAAGUUUCUCCCAUCUCCACAGAGGAACUCUAGAGUUCUGUCAGAGUGACAAUUGGGUUCUUGGCCCUUCUCCCCCGAUCGCUCAGUUUGGUCGGGCUGCCAGCUCUAGGAAAAGCCUUGGUGGUUCCAAUCUUCUUCCAUUUAAGAAUGAUGGAGGCCACUGUGUUCUUGGGGACCUUCAAUGCUGCAGAUAUAUUUUGGUACCCUUCCCCAGAUCUGUGCGUUGACACCAUCCUGUCUCGGAGCUCUACAGACAAUUCCUUCGACCUCAUGGCUUGGUUUUUGCUCUGACAUUCACAGUCAACUGUGGGAUCUUAUAUAGACAGGUGUGUGCCUUUCCAAAUCAUGUCCAAUCAAUUGAAUUUACCACAAGUCGACUUCAAUCCUCAACAACUCAAGGAUGAUCAAUGGAAACAGGAUGCACCUGAGCUCAAUUUCGAGACUCAUAGCAAAGUGUCUGAAUACUUAUGUAAAGAAUGUAUUUACGAUUUUUAUUUUGCUAAGGAAUUUUUUAAAUGUUUAUACAUUUUAGAAUAAGGCUAUAAAAAAAGUUAAAAGGUCUGACCUCCCGAGUGGUGCAGGGGUCUAAGGCACUGCAUCGCAGUGCUAGAGGCAUCACUACAGGUCCGGGUUUGAUCCCGGGCUGUGUCGCAGCAGGCCGCGACCGGGAGACCCAUGAGGCGGAGCAAAAUUGGCCCAGUAAUGGGAUGUCCUUGUCCCAUCGCGCUCUAGCCGGGAGCAUGCACGCUGACUUCGGUCGCAAGCUGUACGUAUUUCCUCCAACUCAGUGGUGCGGCUGGCUUCCGGGUGAAUCGAGCACUACGGGAGUUGCAGCAAUAGGACAAGACUGUAACUACCAAUUCGAUAUCAUGAAAUUGAGGAGAAAAAAGGGUUAGAAGUACUCCCCCCCAAAGAAAUUGUAAUUCAAGGGGUCUGAAUACUUUCCGAAGCCACUGUAUAUCAAGGGGUUGGAUAAAAAGCAGAAGACAAAUGUCCAUCUCGUGUGGACCAAUAAAAUGUAUCUUAUCUUAUGCUUACUUAGCAUAGCCUUUGUGUCUCAUGAGUAUGUCACUGUAGGCUGAUGCAGAGUAAUGGAGGAGCGUGUGUUUGAAAGUAUGGCUCUGGCACGCUCACAUAAGAUGGAGCAUAUCAGUUAUUUCAAAGUUUCUAACGCUCUCUCUCUCUCUCUCUCUCUCUCUCUCUCUCUCUCUCUCUCUCUCUCUCUCUCUCUCUCUCUCUCUCUCUCUCUCUCUCUCUCACUCAUAUCUCACCACACAAACCUCAAACAACUUACUCUCUCUUCCGGCCCACGUUUAAACAGAGUUAAUACAGACAGGGGAGUUGAUUUGAACACUGUUGUAAAACCACAUUUUGUUUCUUUCAUAAUAGAAAAUAAAAUAAGAAAUGUAACCACUGUUCAACUGUCACGCUUUGUCCUCUCUGGAUGAAGAAAAAAAUGGUGUGUUAGGGUGUCUCUAUUGAUUGCGGAAAACACGGAGAAGUGUGAGACUCAGAGGAUGGUUGUGGAGGAAAGAGUACUGAUGACGAAAAGGAGAAUGGUGCCUUGGCGGCUAGUCAACAAGCUAACCACAGAAACUCACACAUCAUCUUUCUUAUAAGCUGGAGCUAAAGUUCCUCUGAAGUCUAAUUUUAGAUCAGUUUGAUCGUUUAAACAUUAUAUUCUUUGUCUUUGUCCCACGUAUCUCUCUCAUAUGUUUCCAUGCCCGAUCUGUUCUGGUAUCAAGUGUAUUUGUUAAUGACAGAUAACGCUCAUUUGUAAAUAAAUGUGUGACUGUGUGUGGGUAAAGUAAUAUUUAAAAAAAAAAACAUAUUUCGUUGAAGCCUUGGUUUCUUGUACAGUAUGUGUAGUUGACAUUUUUAUUGAAAAUAUUUCCCUUUCUGAUAUUGACUGGCUAUCUUCCUCCAACAUCUUGUGGCCUUUCCCCUGUGUGUGACAGAACAGAGAUCGACUAGCGCAUUACAUGCACAGGACUCCGUGGAACACUGGAUCUAUAUUGAUAAUCAGGGCUAAUAUAUUCACAGUAGGCAGAUCAUCAGUUUGCUCUGACGAGAGAGAUGGUCUCUGAUAUACAGCAACUUUUCUUGUUUGCACUACUGUGCGUGUCCCCAAUACAUUUACAUACUAAUGGUCUGUCCCAAUGCCAUACAGCACGAUGUAUUUUCAUCUGCCUAUUUCCCCCUCCGCCCUGCUGUUUUCUGUGAAAGCCAUGGCAAUUGAAACCUGACCGAGGAGUUGUGGGAGUUUCGAAGAACCUUAUAAGACAUGGAAAAGAAAACUUAGGCUUUUCUUUAUCUGUGGUUUGAGCGAGUUGGAGGGAUAUUCUUGUGAUGGUGAGAGUUCAAGGCGGUGUGUUUAGCAUUACAGGUCACACUGCCCUGUUGGUUGAGAGCAGGGAAUGCUGCCACGGGUGAUAUACCAGCUAAGGAGGAUUUAAAAAAGAAUCUUUGCUCCCUUUUAGAGCAGACAAUAGCUCCUCACCCUCAUGGCUGCUCUACAGGUCACAGAUAGGGCCUAUAGGCCUACCACCAGUGCGAUGGUUCACAGUAUGUAGAAAUUAUAUUCCAUGUGUUUGAUACAUGUGAAAUGACAGUUAAAAUUCAGCAUGUGAGGACGACAUUAAUUCUGUUCAUGUCAAGUGUCUUUUUGGGGGGUAAUACUCUUGAUUUUAGUGAGAAAGUGCAAAUAGGAAAGGAAAGGGAAAGGGGGAUACCUAGUCAGUUGUACAACUGAAUGCCUUCAACUGAAAUGUAUCUUACAAAUACCUGUACUCAAUUCAGAUCUUUUCAAUUUCAAUAAAACAAGGAUAUAAUGUGUA